UUCAUUAAACCCUUAAAUAAAUUAUUAAUCACAGAUAUCCAUCAAUAUUUUUUGCCCAAAAAUAAAAUCAAAAUACAAUAACCAAAAUCACUAACCUAAACUAAAAUUGAUAUAAAAGUAACCUCCAACAAAAAUUCAAUCCAUCAACAAUCACUCGAUAUAAUCAUGAUUUCUUUAGGAAGAAUUAAUGGCCAUAACCUAGAAGAAAGGCAAGGCAUGAGACAAGAGCGAGCAGGAAACUGCGAUGGGAGACCAUGGUUGUGCAACAAGCUGUCAACAGCAAGAGUAGAAUGACCAAAAACAAACAACCAAAAUCAAUUCAAUUUAGGCAAUAAGGGAGAGUAACGACUCAAAGAACAACAAAGAAGAAGAUUGAAAUUUGAAAGUAGUGGUUGAGUCACGACUCAGAGAAGAACAAACAAGAAGAUGAAAAUUCGAAGGUAGCAAGUGAGUCGCAACUCAAGUAAGGUCACGCGGAAGGCAAAGAAUUGAGGGAAGAUCAAAGAAGAAGAAGGUGAAGAAUGGCAGGAACACAGAGAAGAGGGGCUAGGGCAUGAGUCGUAGAGAGAGCUGGGGUGGGGGUGUGCGG
RNAcentral lists this unclassified non-coding RNA (589 nucleotides) under Hevea brasiliensis (rubber tree). Lineage: Eukaryota; Viridiplantae; Streptophyta; Magnoliopsida; Malpighiales; Euphorbiaceae. The record is from RNAcentral.